AAGUCGUAACAAGGUUUCCGUAGGUGAACCUGCGGAAGGAUCAUUAAAGAGUUCAUAAGCACAUUUGCGACGCAUGUCGCCUGCGGCGAGCCUUUUUUGAAUGGCACGUCGCAAGCGACGUGAUAGCAAAUUGGGGGGCUGGCGAGGGAUGCCGCCUGCGGCGUGCUUUUUUUGAAUGGCACGUCGCAAGCGACGUGAAAGCGCAAAUUGGCGAGGGUCGUCGCAAGCGAUGUGCUUUUAAAAACACGUCGCUUGCGACGUGCGAGCUAAUCGACGCGCGAGUAAACAUAAUGACACUAAUUCAAUACAUUAACAUUAUUUGUACCACUUUUGACAAUGGAUCUCUAGGCUCUU
RNAcentral lists this unclassified non-coding RNA (354 nucleotides) under fungal sp. Its description in RNAcentral is "partial internal transcribed spacer region". The stretch from base 1 to 46 matches the Rfam family "Eukaryotic small subunit ribosomal RNA", at positions 1786 to 1831 of the family's 1831-position model. The record is from RNAcentral. Lineage: Eukaryota; Fungi.